RNAcentral lists this ribosomal RNA (374 nucleotides) under uncultured organism. Its description in RNAcentral is "bacterial SSU rRNA". It matches the Rfam family "Bacterial small subunit ribosomal RNA", at positions 526 to 896 of the family's 1533-position model. The record is from RNAcentral.
CAGAGGGUGCGAGCGUUGUUCGGAAUUACUGGGCGUAAAGCGCGCGCAGGCGGUUCUUUAAGUCUACCCGUGAAAUGCCGGAGCUCAACUCCGCGCACGCCGGGGGAUACUGGAGAACUGGAGACAGGUAGAGGCAGGCGGAAUUCCGGGUGUAGCGGUGGAAUGCGUAGAGAUCCGGAAGAACACCAGAGGCGAAGGCGGCCUGCUGGGCCUUGUCUGACGCUGAGGCGCGAAAGCGUGGGGAGCGAACAGGAUUAGAUACCCUGGUAGUCCACGCCGUAAACGAUGGGCACUGGGCGCGGGUGGGAUCGACCCCUUCCGUGCCGUAGCUAACGCGAUAAGUGCCCCGCCUGGGGAGUACGGCCGCAAGGCUG